Molecule: unclassified non-coding RNA, 225 nt
Filed under: plant metagenome
Description: partial contains small subunit ribosomal RNA, internal transcribed spacer 1, and 5.8S ribosomal RNA
Source: RNAcentral
UCUCCGUUGGUGAACCAGCGGAGGGAUCAUUACAGGACUCGCAAGACUCCUACAACCCUGUGAACUUAACUAUAAGCACGUUGCUUCGGCGGGUGUCUCGGAGGGGGUUCUCCCUCCCCGAGACGCUAAACCCGCCGGCAGCCUACUUUACUCUGUCUCUUUGCGUUGGCAUCUCGAGUACAAUCAAACAAGUUAAAACUUUCAACAACGGAUCUCUUGGUUCUG